This 215-nucleotide ribosomal RNA is filed under the name Pheidole embolopyx. Its description in RNAcentral is "partial large subunit ribosomal RNA". Lineage: Eukaryota; Metazoa; Arthropoda; Insecta; Hymenoptera; Formicidae. The record is from RNAcentral.
GAAUUUUAUAUAAAUUUAGUUUAAAACUUUAGUAUAAUAUUUAUUAUGUUUAUAUUUUAUUGGGAGGAUAGUUAAAUUAAGUAAACUUUGAAAAUAAAAAUCCAUUAAUUUAUGAAUUAAGGGUUAAAGGAUGAUAAAUGUUUUAAUUAGAAUUAAUUACCUUAGGGAUAACAGCGUUAUAUUUUUAAAGAGAUCUUAUUGAUAAAAAUGAUUGC